UCAGGACGAACGCUGGCGGCGUGCUUCAUACAUGCAAGUCGAACGAUAAGGCGUCUUCGGACGUACAUAAGUGGCGGACGGGUGAGUAAAAUGUAGAGAAUCUGCCCUAGAGAGAGGGACAACAGAGGGAAACUUCUGCUAAUACCUCAUAUGCGCGUAGUUGAGAUACUAUUCGUGAAAACUCCGGUGCUCUAGGAUGAGUCUGCAUCUGAUUAGCUAGUUGGGGGUGUAAUGGACCACCAAGGCGACGAUCAGUAGCUGGUUUGAGAGGAUGAUCAGCCACAAUGGGACUGAGACACGGCCCAUACUCCUACGGGAGGCAGCAGUAGGGAAUUUUGCGCAAUGGGCGAAAGCCUGAACCGCAGCAACGCCGCGUGAUUGAAGAAGCCCUUCGGGGUGUAAAGAUCUGUCAGUGGGGACGAAUUUUGACGGUACCCCACAGAGGAAGCAUCGGCUAACUACGUGCCAGCAGCCGC
This 476-nucleotide ribosomal RNA is filed under the name uncultured bacterium. Its description in RNAcentral is "bacterial SSU rRNA". It matches the Rfam family "Bacterial small subunit ribosomal RNA", at positions 24 to 518 of the family's 1533-position model. The record is from RNAcentral.